This 349-nucleotide ribosomal RNA is filed under the name uncultured bacterium. RNAcentral describes it as "partial 16S ribosomal RNA". It matches the Rfam family "Bacterial small subunit ribosomal RNA", at positions 338 to 698 of the family's 1533-position model. The record is from RNAcentral.
CCUACGGGUGGCAGCAGUCGAGAAUCAUUCACAAUGGGGGCAAGUCUGAUGGUGCGACGCCGCGUGGGGGAAUGAAGGUCUUUGGAUUGUAAACUCCUGUCAUGUGGGAGCAAAUUCAAAAGAUAGUACCACUCGAGGAAGAGACGGCGAACUCGGUGCCAGCAGCCGCGGUAAUACAGCGGGGUCAAGCGUUGUUCGGAAUCACUGGGCGUAAAGGGUGCGUAGGCUGUCUCGUAAGUCGUGUGUGAAAGGCGCGGGCUCAACUCGCGAAUGGCACUUGAUACUGGGAGGCUAGAGAGUUGGUGCGGGAGGCGGAAUGUAUGGUGUAGCAGUGAAAUGCGUAGAGAUC